This 2241-nucleotide ribosomal RNA is filed under the name Clostridium perfringens. RNAcentral's name for it is "partial 23S ribosomal RNA". It matches the Rfam family "Bacterial large subunit ribosomal RNA", at positions 497 to 2925 of the family's 2925-position model. The record is from RNAcentral. Lineage: Bacteria; Bacillati; Bacillota; Clostridia; Eubacteriales; Clostridiaceae.
AGUACCGUGAGGGAAAGGUGAAAAGAACCCCGGGAGGGGAGUGAAAUAGAACCUGAAACCGUGUGCCUACAACCGCUCAGAGCCCCUUAUGAGGGUGAUGAGGUGCUUUUUGUAGAACGAGCCAACGAGUUACGGUAUGUAGCAAGGUUAAGUACUUAAGGUACGGAGCCGAAGGGAAACCGAGUCUGAAUAGGGCGACUAGUUGCAUGCCGUAGACCCGAAACCGGGUGACCUAUCCAUGGCCAGGUUGAAGCGAGGGUAAAACCUCGUGGAGGACCGAACCACGUUGCUGUUGAAAAAGCAUGGGAUGAGCUGUGGAUAGCGGAGAAAUUCCAAUCGAACCCGGAGAUAGCUGGUUCUCUCCGAAAUAGCUUUAGGGCUAGCGUCGAGUAUGAGUAGUGGAGGUAGAGCACUGAAUGGGCUAGGGGGCAUAGCGCUUACCGAACCUUAUCAAACUCCGAAUGCCACAUACUUUGAGCUCGGCAGUCAGACUACGAAUGAUAAGAUCCGUGGUCAAAAGGGAAACAGCCCAGAUCGUCAGCUAAGGUCCCAAAGUGUAAGUUAAGUGGGAAAGGAUGUGAGAUUUCUAAGACAACUAGGAUGUUGGCUUAGAAGCAGCCAUUCAUUAAAAGAGUGCGUAAUAGCUCACUAGUCGAGAGAUCUUGCGCCGAAAAUGUAACGGGGCUAAACUUACCACCGAAGCUACGGGCUUGAACUGAAUCCCACAGGCCGAAAACCUAAGGUUUCCUCAGGAAGGUUCGUCCGCUGAGGGUUAGUCGGGACCUAAGCCGAGGCCGAAAGGCGUAGGUGAUGGACAACUGGUUGAUAUUCCAGUACCACUACCAUCGUUAUUAUCGAUGGCGUGACGCAGGAGGAUAGUGUGUGCUAGCUAUUGGAUGCUAGUCUAAGCGUUUAGGCAGUGAGAGUAGGCAAAUCCGCUCUCAUAAUGCUGAGGCGUGAUGGGGAAGGUUCUACGGAACCGAAGUACAUGAUUCCACGCUGCCAAGAAAAGCGUCUAGAGAGAGAAGUAGUGCCCGUACCGCAAACCGACACAGGUAGGUGAGGAGAGAAUCCUAAGGCCGGCGGAAGAAUUACAGUUAAGGAACUCGGCAAAUUGACCCCGUAAGUUCGCGAGAAGGGGUGCCUACGAGAGUAGGCCGCAGAGAAUAGGCCCAAGCAACUGUUUAGCAAAAACACAGGUCUCUGCUAAAGCGUAAGCUGAUGUAUAGGGGCUGACGCCUGCCCGGUGCUGGAAGGUUAAGGGGAACACUUAGCGCAAGCGAAGGUGUGAACUUAAGCCCCAGUAAACGGCGGCCGUAACUAUAACGGUCCUAAGGUAGCGAAAUUCCUUGUCAGGUAAGUUCUGACCCGCACGAAUGGCGUAAUGACUUGGGCACUGUCUCAACUGUAAAUCCGGCGAAGUUGUAGUGCGAGUGAAGAUGCUCGCUACCCGCGAUUGGACGGAAAGACCCCGUAGAGCUUUACUGUAGCUUAGCAUUGAGUUUUGGUAUUGUCUGUACAGGAUAGGUGGGAGACUAGGAAACCAGGGCGUCAGCCUUGGUGGAGUCAACCUUGGGAUACCACCCUGACAGUACUGAAAUUCUAACUGGCGGCCAUGAAUCUGGUCACAGGACAUUGUUAGGUGGGCAGUUUGACUGGGGCGGUCGCCUCCUAAAAAGUAACGGAGGCGCCCAAAGGUUCCCUCAGAACGGUCGGAAAUCGUUCGAAGAGUGCAAAGGCAGAAGGGAGCCUGACUGCGACACCCACAAGUGGAGCAGGGACGAAAGUCGGGCUUAGUGAUCCGGUGGUACCUCGUGGGAGGGCCAUCGCUCAACGGAUAAAAGCUACCUCGGGGAUAACAGGCUGAUCUCCCCCAAGAGUCCACAUCGACGGGGAGGUUUGGCACCUCGAUGUCGGCUCGUCGCAUCCUGGGGCUGAAGUAGGUCCCAAGGGUUGGGCUGUUCGCCCAUUAAAGCGGCACGCGAGCUGGGUUCAGAACGUCGUGAGACAGUUCGGUCCCUAUCCGUCGCGGGCGUAGGAAAUUUGAGAGGAGCUGUCCUUAGUACGAGAGGACCGGGAUGGACUGACCUCUGGUGUACCAGUUGUUCCGCCAGGAGCACAGCUGGGUAGCUAAGUCGGGAAUGGAUAAACGCUGAAAGCAUCUAAGCGUGAAGCCAACCUCAAGAUGAGAUUUCCCAUAGCUUCAGCUGACCGAUACUAAUAGAUCGAGGGCUUGACCAA